RNAcentral lists this ribosomal RNA (221 nucleotides) under Chrysanthemum x morifolium (florist's daisy). RNAcentral's name for it is "partial internal transcribed spacer 2". The record is from RNAcentral. RNAcentral also lists the same sequence under 1 other name. Lineage: Eukaryota; Viridiplantae; Streptophyta; Magnoliopsida; Asterales; Asteraceae.
AUCGCGUCGCCCCCCACAAUUCUCCGUAAAGGGAACAUGUGUUUUGGGGGCGGAUAUUGGUCUCCCGUGCUCAUGGCGUGGUUGGCCGAAAUAGGAGUCCUUUCGAUGGACGCACGAACUAGUGGUGGUCGUAAAAACCCUCGUCUUUUGUUUCGUGCUGUUGCUCGCAAGGUAAACUCUUUAAAAACCCCAAUGUGCCGUCUCUUGACGACGCUUCGACC